Molecule: long non-coding RNA, 395 nt
Organism: Dendroctonus ponderosae (mountain pine beetle)
Lineage: Eukaryota; Metazoa; Arthropoda; Insecta; Coleoptera; Curculionidae
Exons: 2
Source: RefSeq, a predicted model, not a curated record
ACAUCAAAUUAGUUAAAAUUAUCUUUAAAAUUUUUUUGUAAAUCACAAGACCAAGCGGCCACUGACCUACUGUGUGAGUGUAACUACACUUAAACUAGUAACAGUUGACACUUAUUUUGAUUAGAUGUCAUUGUGAUGUGUUCUACUCAGCUUUUGCAAGCCUUUAAACAAAGAGAAAUAUAUUGAAAACUGUAAGAUGACCGGUAAAGGGUCAGACCAUGAAGAACGUGUCCUUGCAUUUGCCGUACCAACGAGGGACACCCAGGCGUUGCAAGAGCUGCACGGAUAAUAAAAGACAAACAAGAACAAAAGCAACAGGAUAAAAAUGUAAUAUUUGGUUUUGAGGAUUGUCACAUGUAGUAGUACACUUAUAUCAUAAGAAACAUACUUUUGUA